GGGGGAAGAGGAGCCGUAGGCGCCAUCACCCAGCUUCCUGGUUUCAGUCAUGAUUUUUUUUUUGAGACGGAGUUUCGCUCUUUUUGCCCAGGCUGGAGUGCAAUGGCGCCAUCUCGGCUCACUGCAGCCUCCGCCUCCCGGUUUGAAGGGAUUCUCCGGCCUCAGUCCGCCGUGUUUUUAUAAAUUAGAACGGGCCUAUGCGUCAAGCGCGGGUCUCGCGGCUGCGGAGAGAGGCCCAGCAGGGGGCGGGGACGCCAGGAGGCAGGGCCUGGCCGAACUGCGCACGCCCUGUGGUUCUGGCUACGGGUGCCCGGACCUGCCCAACAACUCUUCUCCAUUCGCGACCUCCAAACCCCUACCCGGUCCGCAGGGCACUUUCCUCCGCUCUCUCAGGCACGUCCUUGACCUCAGUUGCCACGUGCACAUGCUGGUGCCUUCCAGGCUGGAGUAUAGUGGCAUGAUCAUAGAUCACUGCAGCCUCAAACUCCUGGGCUCAAGCAAUCCUCCCACCUCAGCCUCCAUAUAGCUGGUGGGGAUCAAGUUUCUAACACAUGAAUCUUGGGAGACACAUUCAGACCAUCACAGUGGCCUUAUAAAAAGAGACACAAGGGCUUGCUCUCUGCCAUGUGAGUAUACCACAAGAAGACUGUCCUCAGCAAAUCAGAGAGCAGGUGGACCCUCAUCAGACACCAGAUGUGCCUGCACCUUUAUCUUGGACUUGCCAGCCUUCAGAACAGUAAGAAAGAAAUGUGUGUUGUUUAAGCCGCCCAGUCUAUGGAAACUUGUUAUAGCACCCCACUAAGAGACCCCAAGAUAUUUAAAAACUCAUCAGCACCUGCCUUCUGCAUCUGGAUCCUGAUCUUCUGGCGGGUUUACCAGUUACUUGCAGAGUGUCCCUGUGAUAGUUUUAGGUGUCAACUUGACAGGACUGAGGGAUGCCUAGAUGGCUGGGGAAGCACUGUUUCUGAGAAGGACCAUGUUUUUGGAAGAGACUGUUUUAUGGGUGAAUUUCAGGGGACACAUUCAUCAUGGCAGUGGCAGUAUAAAGAGAGACACAAAAGCGUGUUCUCUCUCUCUGCCAUGUGAGACUACCACACAAAGACUGCCAUCUGCAAACCAGAAGCAGGUGGGCUCUCCUCAGACACCAGAUCUGCCUGCACCUUGAUCUUGGCCUUGCCAGCCUUCAGAACUCUAAGAAAGAAAUGGUAGCAUGGCUUGGUCUAAGUUGGAAGGCCUGAGAAACAAGGAAGCAUAUGGUGGAACUGAGUUCAAGGAUAAAGACUUGAGAAUACCUACUCAGUGGACUGAGUAGGGAAGAUCAACCCUCAAUGUAGGCAGGCACUAUCCAAUCACCUGAGGGCCCAGAUGGAACAAAAAGGUGGAAGAAGGGUGAAUUCUCUCUUCCAGAGCUGUGACACCCUUCUCCUCAUGCCCUUGUACCACACAACUCUAGGUCCUUUGGCCUUUGGACUCUGACACUUGCACCAGUGGCCCUCUGGGGCUCUCAAGCCUUUAGCCUUGAACUGAGUUACACCAUGUGCUUCCUUGUUUCUCAGGCCUUCCAACUUGGAUCAGGGCAUGCCACCAGCUUCUCUGAUUCUCCAGCUUGCAGAUGGCAUAUUGUGACCCUGACAUUUAAUAACUACGACUUUGGUCUUAAGCAAUUUUCUUCCUCUGUGGAUUGAUAUUUGGAUAUCAAUGUGGAUAAUAAUUUCUCACCAAGGUAACUGUUGUGAGGUAAAAAUGAGUUAACAUAAGUAAAACCUAGCACAUGCAAACCAUCCGAAAUGGUUAAUACUUACUAUUAGUACUU
RNAcentral lists this long non-coding RNA (1813 nucleotides) under Pongo abelii (Sumatran orangutan). RNAcentral describes it as "lincRNA". The record is from RNAcentral. Lineage: Eukaryota; Metazoa; Chordata; Mammalia; Primates; Hominidae.